Molecule: ribosomal RNA, 440 nt
Filed under: uncultured bacterium
Lineage: Bacteria
Description: partial 16S ribosomal RNA
Rfam family: Bacterial small subunit ribosomal RNA
Source: RNAcentral
CCUACGGGAGGCAGCAGUGGGGAAUAUUGGACAAUGGGGGGAACCCUGAUCCAGCGACGCCGCGUGAGUGAAGAAGUAUUUCGGUAUGUAAAGCUCUAUCAGCAGGGAAGAAAAUGACGGUACCUGACUAAGAAUCCCCGGCUAACUACGGGCAAGCAGCCGCGGUAAUACGUAGGGGGCAAGCGUUAUCCGGAUUUACUGGGUGUAAAGGGGGCGUAGGCGGUGCAGCAAGUCUGAUGUGAAAGGUCGGGGCCCAACCCCGGGACUGCAGGGGAAACUGGUGAACUGGAGUACAGGAGAGGCAGGCGGAAUUCCUAGUGUAGCGGUGAAAUGCGUAGAUAUUAGGAGGAACCCCAGUGGCGAAGGCGGCUUACUGGACUGUAACUGACGUUGAGGCUCGAAAGCGUGGGGAUCGAACAGGAUUAGAUACCCGUGUAGUC